Molecule: ribosomal RNA, 434 nt
Filed under: uncultured marine bacterium
Lineage: Bacteria
Description: bacterial SSU rRNA
Rfam family: Bacterial small subunit ribosomal RNA
Source: RNAcentral
AAUAUGGCACAAUUGGCGCAAAGCCUGAUUCAGCCAUGCCGCGUGAAGUGAUGAAGACCUUAGGGUUGUAAAAACUCUUUCAUCGGUGAAAGAUAAUGACGGUAGCCGAAGAAGAAGUCCCGGGCUAACUCCGUGCCAGCAGCCCGCGGUAAUUCGGAGGGGGACUAGCGUUGUUCGGAAUUACUGGGCGUAAAGCGCGCGUAGGCGGGCUGGUCAGUUGGGGGUGAAAUCCCGAGGCUUAACCUCGGAACUGCCUUCAAUACUGCCAGUCUUGAGUUCGGAAGAGGUGGGUGGAAUUCCUAGUGUAGAGGUGAAAUUCGUAGAUAUUAGGAAGAACACCAGUGGCGAAGGCGGCUCACUGGUCCGAUACUGACGCUGAGGUGCGAAAGCGUGGGGAGCGAACAGGAUUAGAUACCCUGGUAGUCCACGCCGUA